Molecule: ribosomal RNA, 253 nt
Filed under: uncultured bacterium
Lineage: Bacteria
Description: partial 16S ribosomal RNA
Rfam family: Bacterial small subunit ribosomal RNA
Source: RNAcentral
UACGUAGGGUGCGAGCGUUAAUCGGAAUUACUGGGCGUAAAGCGUGCGCAGGCGGCGCGUUAAGACAGGUGUGAAAGCCCCGGGCUUAACCUGGGAAUGGCAUUGGAAACUGGCUCGCUGGAGUGUGGCAGAGGGGGGUGGAAUUCCGCGUGUAGCAGUGAAAUGCGUAGAGAUGCGGAGGAACACCAGUGGCGAAGGCGGCUCACUGGCUCGGUACUGACGCUGAGGUGCGAAAGCGUGGGGAGCAAACAGG